ACCUGAGCCAAUAGCUCAUAUCCUAUAGGAUUAUUGCUGUGUACACAAGCAUUUUGUUCAUACUUGCCUAUAUUUAUCAGUUUAAUAAUGAGCAUUGAGAUAGAAAUACCUGAAGUGUUGGAUCGUAAUGAAAAUCGCUCGAGAAAGUAUCAGAAGAAAAGGUUAUCGACGUCAACGAUAUAGUUCAACUGAAAAUCGAUGGUCGCCUGCAAAAGAAUUUGUGACUUUCCGUUGCAGUAGCUAAAUUCGCAACUGCACGCGAUGUAAAAUUUGCUUUAUUGUGAACUGUUAUUUUACAUGGCAUCUUUGGCUUUUCAGUUUGUAUAAUGCUUAAACUUCCAUUAUAUUUUUCACGAAUUUACUGAA
Xenia sp. Carnegie-2017 is the source of this 366-nucleotide long non-coding RNA. RefSeq lists it as uncharacterized. The record is from RefSeq and is a predicted model, not a curated record. The transcript is spliced from 2 exons. Lineage: Eukaryota; Metazoa; Cnidaria; Anthozoa; Malacalcyonacea; Xeniidae.